This 271-nucleotide ribosomal RNA is filed under the name uncultured bacterium. Its description in RNAcentral is "partial 16S ribosomal RNA". It matches the Rfam family "Bacterial small subunit ribosomal RNA", at positions 524 to 794 of the family's 1533-position model. The record is from RNAcentral.
UACGGAGGAUCCAAGCGUUAUCCGGAUUUAUUGGGUUUAAAGGGUGCGUAGGCGGAAUAGUAAGUCAGUGGUGAAAUCCUGCAGCUUAACUGUAGAAUUGCCAUUGAUACUGCUAAUCUUGAGUAUAUUUGAAGUGGGCGGAAUGUGUCAUGUAGCGGUGAAAUGCUUAGAUAUGACACAGAACACCAAUUGCGAAGGCAGCUCACUAAACUAUAACUGACGCUGAGGCACGAAAGCGUGGGGAUCAAACAGGAUUAGAUACCCUGGUAGU